RNAcentral lists this ribosomal RNA (727 nucleotides) under uncultured Gammaproteobacteria bacterium. RNAcentral's name for it is "bacterial SSU rRNA". It matches the Rfam family "Bacterial small subunit ribosomal RNA", at positions 93 to 815 of the family's 1533-position model. The record is from RNAcentral. Lineage: Bacteria; Pseudomonadati; Pseudomonadota; Gammaproteobacteria.
GAGCGGCGGACGGGUGAGUAACGCGUAGGAAUCUACCUAGUAGAAGGGGAUAGCCCGGGGAAACCCGGAUUAAUACCGUAUACCUCCUUCGGGAGAAAGAAGGCCUCUCUUUGAAGCUUUUGCUAUUAGAUGAGCCUGCGUAAAAUUAGCUUGUUGGUGAGGUAAAGGCUCACCAAGGCUACGAUCUUUAGCUGGUCUGAGAGGACGAUCAGCCACAUUGGGACUGAGACACGGCCCAGACUCCUACGGGAGGCAGCAGUGGGGAAUAUUGGACAAUGGGCGCAAGCCUGAUCCAGCCAUACCGCGUGUGUGAAGAAGGCCUUCGGGUUGUAAAGCACUUUAAGCAGGGAGAAAAAGUUAUAAGUUAAUACCCUAUAACCGUGAUGUUACCUGCAGAAUAAGCACCGGCUAAUUCCGUGCCAGCAGCCGCGGUAAUACGGAAGGUGCAAGCGUUAAUCGGAAUUACUGGGCGUAAAGCGCGCGUAGGUGGUUUGUUAAGUUGGAUGUGAAAGCCCUGGGCUCAACCUAGGAACUGCAUCCAAAACUAACUCACUAGAGUACGAUAGAGGGAGGUAGAAUUCAUAGUGUAGCGGUGGAAUGCGUAGAUAUUAUGAAGAAUACCAGUGGCGAAGGCGGCCUCCUGGAUCUGUACUGACACUGAGGUGCGAAAGCGUGGGUAGCGAACAGGAUUAGAUACCCUGGUAGUCCACGCCGUAAACGAUGACAA